UUUAUGCGGGUUCGGGACGGGUUGGUGGGGUCGGGGCGAGUUCGCGGGCACGGGUGGGUUCUGCAUACCCCUGUGACGCACGGCCUCUUCUUUCUUCCUCUUCUCUUUUCUUUUCCCACCCGACACCAUCAUCUUCUCCCUCUCCUCUCUCCGUUCCUCCCAUUUGUUCCUUCAUCUCUUCUCUUUCUUCUUCUUUCGUCGGCAGAGAGGGAAACACCGAGAGAGACGAUCGGAAGACCGAGAAAAGCCGAGACCCGUGACCCGAUGAACCCGAAACCAACAGAGAGAUCCGAUCCUUCGGUGGGAUGUCGGAGGUCCGAUCUUCCAGCGAUUUCCGGUGGGUUGUUGAUGGGUCGACACCGUCGAAGCCAAAGGUGCGAUUUCCAGGGAUUUCCGGUGGAAUUUUCUGUGUAGAACGAAAAUCCCCUAUACUCUAAUGUUGUGAUUGCAGGUACUCCGGUGUAAUGGAUGGUUUGGAAGCAAUGUACUCUGGAUGUUAUGACCGAAGCUUGUCGUGACGGUCAUAAUUGCUGGACCACAGGUGUCCACUGUUUUAUAGGUUUUAUUUAUGGCUUGUGACGCUUGUGUCACUUGUUAUUGUAUUAACCAUUGCUGUUGUGUAAUUAAUGUGUCUGAUUUGAGGAAAGAUUUAAACAGAUAGAUGUAAUAUGGCUAUUUGGUUAUGAUUAGAUCGUUGUAGAGUUUAUAUUGU
This is a long non-coding RNA of Alnus glutinosa, 712 nucleotides long. RefSeq lists it as uncharacterized. NCBI's taxonomy places the organism in Eukaryota, Viridiplantae, Streptophyta, Magnoliopsida, Fagales, Betulaceae. The transcript has 3 exons. The record is from RefSeq and is a predicted model, not a curated record.